UACGUAGGGGGCUAGCGUUGUCCGGAAUCAUUGGGCGUAAAGAGCGCGUAGGCGGCCAGAUAAGUCCGGUGUGAAAGUCAAAGGCUCAACCUUUGAAUGCCGCUGGAAACUGUCUGGCUAGAGUCCGGGAGGGGCGAGUGGAAUUCCUGGUGUAGCGGUGAAAUGCGCAGAUAUCAGGAGGAACACCAGUGGCGAAGGCGGCUCACUGGCCCGAUACUGACGCUGAGGCACGAAAGCGUGGGGAGCAAACAGG
Molecule: ribosomal RNA, 253 nt
Filed under: uncultured bacterium
Lineage: Bacteria
Description: partial 16S ribosomal RNA
Rfam family: Bacterial small subunit ribosomal RNA
Source: RNAcentral